This 373-nucleotide ribosomal RNA is filed under the name uncultured bacterium. RNAcentral describes it as "bacterial SSU rRNA". It matches the Rfam family "Bacterial small subunit ribosomal RNA", at positions 523 to 898 of the family's 1533-position model. The record is from RNAcentral.
AUACGGAGGAUGCGAGCGUUAUCCGGAUUUAUUGGGUUUAAAGGGUGCGCAGGCGGGAUUUUAAGUCAGCGGUGAAAUUUUCAGGCUCAACCUGAACACUGCCGUUGAAACUGGGAUUCUUGAGUAUGGAUGAAGUAGGCGGAAUUCGUUGUGUAGCGGUGACAUGCUUAGAUAUAUGGAGGAACACCAGUGGCGAAGGCGGCUCUCUGGUCUGUAACUGACGCUGAGGCUCGAAAGCGUGGGGAGCGAACAGGAUUAGAUACCCUGGUAGUCCACGCCGUAAACGAUGAUUACUAGUUGUUUGCGAUAUACCGUAAGUGACUAAGCGAAAGCGAUAAGUAAUCCACCUGGGGAGUACGCCGGCAACGGUGAA